RNAcentral lists this long non-coding RNA (6641 nucleotides) under Populus trichocarpa (black cottonwood). RNAcentral's name for it is "long non-coding RNA (PTRI_LNC002231)". The record is from RNAcentral. Lineage: Eukaryota; Viridiplantae; Streptophyta; Magnoliopsida; Malpighiales; Salicaceae.
AAUUUAAUGAUACUUUAGUGCAAUAUAAUGAUAUAAAGUCUUAAUGAGAAUGCACUUUUAAGUACUAAUCACCUGCUCAGGCACACACCUUAGUGUGUUUUUACAAUUUUUUAAAAGUCAGAGUGGGCACCGCACCACCCAUCGGUGCACUUGCACACUAAAUUUUCUAUGCAAAGUAGAGGAACCUCUUAUCUCUCCAGCCAAUGGCAUGACAAGGCACGAUAACCAAUGGUCCACAUUAACCUCUUCACCAAUUGUACAUCAACCAAUAAGUAACCUGCAACUCUACGCACCAUGAAGUACUUGUAACUUUACUCACCAUAAGAUAUCUAAAACACCAUUAUCCAUAAGGUAACAUGAUAUUAUCAAGGUCUAUAAAUUUCUUGGAUCAUCAGGUAAGCAUUCAAAAGUUAGGCAAGCUCAUUCAAGAGCUUCAUACUAGUUCAUACAAUAAUUCCACCCAAGACCACAAACAACAAACAACCAUACAAUAGUUCCACCCAAUAUCACAUACAAACAUCAUUCAACCAUUCAUCAAGUUCAGACCAAACACAAAACAUUAACAUAUACACUCUCUCAUGUUCUUUACACUCAUAUACAUUAUUACUCUCCUAAAUUUUAGUAAUGUAAAUCUUAAAGGUUCCAUGUAUUCAGAGAACUGCAAAAUAUUAAGAGAACUGCAAAAGAAUCUUGAGUUAAAGUAAUCUAAAUACAAGGACAACACUUAACCAAACAUGACAGAGUAGAUAAAGAUGACAAUUUCACUCAAUUUGUCAUGUAUUCAGUGUUAUUUAAUUCAAAUAAACUGGGUUUUUAUUUAGUUUGACUAGAAUUGGAUGCAAAGGUAAAUAAAUUACACACCACCUGGACCCUCACUUUACCUCCACCCAAUUUUUUAAUCUAUUUUUUUAUUUUAUAAAGUGGUUAUUUUAUUUUUAAAUAUAAUAUACUUAUUUUUAUCUUAUUAUUCAUCAAAUAUUUUUAUGGUUUUACGAAUGGAUUUGAAGUAUAGACUCUAUAUUAUGGUUUUAUAAUUCAUGAAUGAAAAUACUAUUUAUUUUUAAGCUUAGAUUUUAUUUAAAAAAAAUGACUUAAAAAUAAAAAACAAAAAAAUAGAUCAAGUCAAGUUAGGUACCCGAUGGCAUAUGCCAGGUGGGAAAAUCAUCAACCCGAUUUGAUCUGUUUGGAUUGGAGGUAAAGUAGGAUGAUAGAUUUAGAAAUUGCAACUCGGAAUCGAGUAAAGCCAAAUCCAGCUCCAACUUGAACCAUUGUCAUCCCUGAGGGUAGAUAACAUUUAUUUUCAACACCAUUUUGCAUGUACCAUCAUAACCUAAUUAAAAACAUUUAGAAUAUAGACUCACUUGUAUAUGAAACAAACAAUACCUAUACAAAAAUUAAGAGAAUAAGACUAUACUGAAGACUUAAGAGAAAUAACCAAACAAUGGAGAACAAAAAAAAAAUACCACCAAUGAAAAUAUUUUGUUGUUACAUUCCAUACCCAUGUUGUUGCUGCAUUGCAAUGACCCUACCAGAGCACUCCAAAUCCCAUGACAUUGCCACUGCUACUACUACAAUCCAUUUCUUCACCAAUCUUGUUGUGAUACUAAUACACUCUAAAACACCAACCUCCUUGUAAACACCUCAAAUCCUUCUAUCUUCUAAAAACUAUCCUCCCAAUUAUAUCUCUAAAAACACACUAUAAUCAAAACACAAUUAUCAUAUGUAAUUUUUAUAAAAACAUUUUUUGAAUUCCUUCAACAUGUCAAUUUUGAAGCUAAUAUAGUUAUAAAUUGUUCUAAUGUUAUUUAAAGUAUUUUAAAUAAGAUAAAAAAAACAAAUUUCUUAGGUGAGGUAUAGCAAAAACAAUUAUUAAAUGUUUAGUCUCGACCACUAAUUUCUAUCUAGAAUGCACAUUUAUGCAUGUCCCAUUUAAAUUAUGCAAACAUGUCUCUCAAAUAAAUAUAUCAUUACAUGGUUAAUAAGAAAAAGUAAGUAGAUCCAAUAACAAGAGAAAACAAGCAAGUUUCAAUAGCCAAGGAAAGAGAAUGAAAAAUGUGCUGGCAAAAACAAAAACAAAAAAUAAAUAAAAACAGAACAGGAGUGAGAAAAGAAAGAAGAAAAUAACAAAGAAAGAAUGAGACACCAAAGCCAUAUUAGAGCUCCAAUGACAACAUCCUCAAAACCAUCAGAAAAAUUUUGGUGAGAAGAAUCUAUAGACAUCAAGGAAGAUCGUCAGAGAAGGACAAGGUGGGCUAUACAUAUUUCCUAAAGGUUACGACUGACCCAUUACACGCGCGGUAAAAAAAUCUAUUGGUUGUUUGGGCUUGGUCUAAAUAGCUAGUAAUCCUAGUCAUUUAGACCUAUCCCAAAUGACUAACUUUCUAGUCAUUUAGGCCAUGCUCGAAUAGUUAGAAUCAUAUUUGUUUGUGUCAACCCAAAUAGCAUCUCCCUUAUCCAAUUCAAACUCACCUCAGUCUAUCAAAAACUACCUUAGAAACAUACCUCUAUUUAUUUUUUCAAUUCACAAUAUAGUGCAAACAUGUAAAUUCUCUACUUAGUAGUGCAUACUAGGUGUACAUGGAAUUGUUUUAUGCAAAACAAACACCCCUCUUCUCACUAAUAGUUAUAUUAUGCCAAUACUUCUCCACCAAUGGCAUAGUAAGUAUCACAACUAAUGACAACACUAACCUCUCCACCAAUAGUGCAACUCUCCUCUCCUUAAACCACGAGAUAAGUAGAUAUGACCAGGAUCUAUACAUGCUUUGGUCACUAGGUAAGUCAAAAAAAGUCAAGCCAUGCAAUAUCAUAGAUGAGUAUAACCACACAACAAUUCUACGAAUCACAAUCAACACCCAACAAUUCUAGGAAUCACUAGCAACCACCCAGCAAUUUCAAGGAGCACAAACAACCAUUGAACAAGUCAUACAAGUUCAUAGGUAGAAAAACACAACAUGCAAAUACACACUCCUUACAAUUUCAUUCUAUUUUCCAUUACUAUAUAAUAUUUUCUCCUCCUAUAUUUACUAACUUAAACAUUGGAGUGUCACAUGUUCCCAUUAAAGACUUCUUUUGUAGAAAAGCUCAUGGACUAGUAGUCAAACCCAAUAACGUCACCAACACAAAAUUAUAGUUGUGAAAGAUAGUCUGAAAUUUUUCACGGCUUCAUCAUUUUAAAUUUAAAGACAACAUAUUAACAUCCUUUUAUACGUGCAAUGUGGAAAAGCAUAUAUAUGAAGGCAGGAGAUAAGUUGACAAAUGAGUUUGACAAUGUCACAAUCGGGUGUUUGAUGUUUCAUGAGUAAUAUAUACCUUUUUUUUUUUUUCAUAAAACAUGACAUUCUUCUUUAGGUACCAACUAGUAAUUUGACCCGCGCUUCGCCUUGGGUCAGAUAUUUUUUUUUUUUUUGCAAAAAAAAUAAAUACGCAAGCUUUUCAAAUGUGUUUUUUGUAAAAAAAAAAUUCUAAUUAUAAAUCAAAAAGCCUAUGCAUGCAUUUAAUUAAAUACUUCGAGAACUAUUUGUGCCAAUAAAUGCAAAAAACAAAGUGUUAAAAUAUUUAUUUGACUCACCUCGCUGCAAGUCAAUUAAUUGUUUUUUCUAACGCUAAAAAAUUAAUGUGUAGGUGUUAUUAACACGUUUUUUUUUUUUAAUUUUGAGUAAAAAAUAUAAUCAUGAAUCAAAUAGUUGAUGCUAACAUAUAAUAACAUAUAAUAAAAUAUAGUAAAUAUCAUAUAAGUUAAUAAAAACAUGUAAGAUCUCAAGCUAGUUUUUAACGUAGCAAAUGAAUGAAAUAAUGUUGCAAUUGCUACAAUGAAACAUAAUUUCCUUAGUCUUUGUAUAAUAAUUUUUCAAAAAAUAGUGUAGAGAAAAAAUUAAAAAACAAAUUACAAAAAAAUAAAGAUAUAAGCAAAAAUAGUAUAAAUAGUCCAAAUAUAAAGCGAUAAAUAUUCAAAGUGUAAAAAACAAAAAAUAAAAAUCAAUAUUUUUUUGAAAAAAAAAGAGUGUAAAGAAGAAAAAAGGAAAAAAAUAAAAAAAUAUUACAAAAAAAUAAAGAUAAGAAAAAAAAAUUGUGAUAAAUAGGCUAAGUGUAAAAUGAUAAAAAUGCCUAGUAUAAAGAGAGAGAAAAUAAGAAAAACUUGUUUUUGUAAACGAAACCAAAAAUUCUAAUUUCACCACUGCUACAGUACUCUACAGUAAAAAAAUUGGUAAAAUUUACAAUUAUACCAUUUCUACAGGAAAACACCGUUUUAUUUUAGUAUAUGUACUAGUUAUUUGAUCCGCACCACGGAUCGAAUAAUGGUUUUUGGCAAAGAAAAAAUUGCAAGCUUUUCAAAUGUGUUUUUUUUAAUAUAAUUAUAAAUCAAAAACUUUAUGCAUGCAUUUAAUUAAAUACAUCGGGAACAAUUUGUGUCCAUAAAUGCAAAAAACAAAGAGUUAAAGCGUCUAUUCAACUCGCCUUGCAGCAAGUCAAAUUUUUUUUUUCUAACACAAACUAAUUCAUGUGCAAGUGUUAUUAACAUGUUUUUUGACUUCGAGUAAAAAUAUAACCGUGAAUCAAAAGGUCGAUACUUACAUGUAAUAAAAUAUAGUAAAGAUUAUAUGCGUUAAUAAAAACAUGUAAAAUCUCAAUAUAAUUUUUAAUAUAGCACAAGAAUAAAAUAAUGUUGCAAUUGUUAAGGUGAAACACUAUUUUCUUAGUUUUUAUAUAAUAAAAAUUAAAAAAUAAAUUACAAAAGAAUAAAGAUAAGAACAAAAAUAAUGGUAUAAAUAGGUGAAAUGUAGAGUGACAAAUAUUUAAGGUGUAAAAAAUAAAAAAUUAUAAUUUUUUCGAAAUAAAGUAUAAAGAAAAAAAGGAAAACUAAAAAAAUAUAUAAAAAAUAAAAAUAUGAAGAAAAAAUGGUGAUAAAUAGACCAAGUGUAAAAUGAUAAAAAUACCAUGUAUAAAAAGAAAAAAAAUCUAAAAAUUAUAAUUUUACCUUAGCUGACCAUGCCUAUAUUUAUUUCAAAAAAUAAUAAUUCCUUUAACUUUAACUUUUACUUUCGAUGAGCUGCUGCUUACAAUUAAGGAAAGUGGGUAAAAUAGCCUUAGCUGACCAUAUAUGCCUAUAUAUAUUUCAAAAAAGAAUUAGCAUGAUUGUUCAAACAAAAUUAAAUGCAACGUUUACCAUUAAUUAUAUAUACCAAUUUGUUUGCGAAUUAAGAAAAAUGGAGGAACCACAAUAUGGCUCAAAAUAAAUCCUACUAUUGUUUUCUAAAUAUAUCUAAUCAUUGUCUGUCCAACAUUUAAUAAUGAUAAUAAUAAUAAAAAUAAGCAAGACAUUGUUUGCAUAUUUAGCUUAAAAAUCAAGCUUCGUUCUCUUGAUCCUAAAAAAAUAAAAAAUAAAAACUAAUAUUCAACUUUUUUUCUACUUGAAAACAUCUCAUAAAUCACCUUAAUAAACCUGCAUCUAACCUUAAAAUAAUAUCUAAUUGGUCAAAAAAUUAAAAAUUAACCCUAAAUGAAAAACAUUCAUUGAGUCUGAUCUAUAUUUUUCACCGAUAUUAAGAGCAACAAACACCUAAAUGGAACUCUUAUCGUCAAAUAGAAUCCAUUAACACCAAUAUCGAUUUUUAUGGUUCCUGAAACAUGGAUAACCGAUAACUUUUUCUCUUCCUGUUGUUUUCUAGCAAGUCUCUCUCCACUCUAAAAAACAAAAACUAUAAUGUGAAUAAAAUAAAGUUUCAAAUCAAAAGAUAAAAUUUUCAAACUUAAAGGACUGAAAAUGACAUCAAAAAAAUUAUGUAGUCAAAAAUUUGUAAAAAGUCAGCUAAUGAACAAUUCAAAAAUAAAAUAAAAAAGGUUAUAUUCUAUGCUUUUAUCGUGGUUCCCCUUAUGUAUGGUGAAGGCUACGAGUUGUUGUCUGCAGUAGUCCUGGUUAGCUGUUAGGUAGUACUGUUUGCUCUAUUCUGCAAUUAAAAACUCAUUCUCAAACAGCCAAUAAGGCUACAUAUAAAUCCCUCACGAAAUUGAUUUAUAUUAUAUAAACAGAUUUAUACUAUGGUUAGCCUCAUAAAUAAAUACAAUUUAUGAUUUUAUUUAAUUAUUUUUAAUGUACAGCAUAUAAAUACAAUUAUAUAUUUUUAAAAUUACUUAAAUAGAAUUUAGUUUUAGUCAAUGUAAUAAUUGAUUUAAUAAUAUCAUUUAUCCUCGAGUAUGUGCAUUAAUCAGCAACCAGAUGUUAAAUCAAAGACAUGUGGCCACAAUUACCUGCCCAUCUGCAUGCACAAGAAUCCAAGCCCAAGGAAUUCCUCCAUGGCUCUUUUUAAGAUCAUCAAGAAAGACAUGCUCAUGGGUCCAGGGCCUAUACAGGGAACACACCGAGCCCAUUGUAGUGUUCUUUGUUCUGGGUGGAGCUAAGAACUCCUCCAUGUCGGCCGUCAACCGCCACAGAUGAAGGGGAGGCACCUGGUGGACCUGUAACUGCGUGGUGUCCCUGAUUAAUUAAUAAUCCCUAUCUUUAUUUAAGAAACACCAAGGGUGGUGGAGAGUGGAGACGAGAGAGCUGCCUUGUCAUGCUCACCUGCUCGCGCAAAUAAACAAAUACAAAAAAUAAUUAAUCUUGCGUUUGUGCCCUGCAAGUAUAGACGGUCCCUCCCUUGAGU